RNAcentral lists this ribosomal RNA (482 nucleotides) under Bacillus thuringiensis. RNAcentral describes it as "bacterial SSU rRNA". It matches the Rfam family "Bacterial small subunit ribosomal RNA", at positions 15 to 484 of the family's 1533-position model. Lineage: Bacteria; Bacillati; Bacillota; Bacilli; Caryophanales; Bacillaceae. The record is from RNAcentral.
GAUCCUGGCUCAGGGAUGAACGCUGGCGGCGUGCCUAAUACAUGCAAGUCGAGCGAAUGGAUUGAGAGCUUGCUCUCAAGAAGUUAGCGGCGGACGGGUGAGUAACACGUGGGUAACCUGCCCAUAAGACUGGGAUAACUCCGGGAAACCGGGGCUAAUACCGGAUAACAUUUUGAACUGCAUGGUUCGAAAUUGAAAGGCGGCUUCGGCUGUCACUUAUGGAUGGACCCGCGUCGCAUUAGCUAGUUGGUGAGGUAACGGCUCACCAAGGCAACGAUGCGUAGCCGACCUGAGAGGGUGAUCGGCCACACUGGGACUGAGACACGGCCCAGACUCCUACGGGAGGCAGCAGUAGGGAAUCUUCCGCAAUGGACGAAAGUCUGACGGAGCAACGCCGCGUGAGUGAUGAAGGCUUUCGGGUCGUAAAACUCUGUUGUUAGGGAAGAACAAGUAGCUAGUUGAAUAAGCUGGCACCUCUGACG